UACGUAGGUGGCAAGCGUUGUCCGGAAUUAUUGGGCGUAAAGCGCGCGCAGGCGGUCCUUUAAGUCUGAUGUGAAAGCCCACGGCUCAACCGUGGAGGGUCAUUGGAAACUGUGGGACUUGAGUGCAGAAGAGGAGAGCGGAAUUCCACGUGUAGCGGUGAAAUGCGUAGAGAUGUGGAGGAACACCAGUGGCGAAGGCGGCUCUCUGGUCUGUAACUGACGCUGAGGCGCGAAAGCGUGGGGAGCGAACAGG
This 253-nucleotide ribosomal RNA is filed under the name uncultured bacterium. Its description in RNAcentral is "partial 16S ribosomal RNA". It matches the Rfam family "Bacterial small subunit ribosomal RNA", at positions 524 to 776 of the family's 1533-position model. The record is from RNAcentral.